This 71-nucleotide transfer RNA is filed under the name Marmota monax (woodchuck). RNAcentral describes it as "tRNA.Ala". The record is from RNAcentral. Lineage: Eukaryota; Metazoa; Chordata; Mammalia; Rodentia; Sciuridae.
GUAGCUGUAGCUCAUUGGUAGAGCGCCCGCCUUGCUCGUGUGAGGCACUGGGUUCAAUCUUCAGCAACACA